GGCCCAGUGGUUCAGUUGGUUAGAACGCAAGCCUGUCACGCUUGAGGUCGAGGGUUCGAGUCCCUUCUGGGUCG
RNAcentral lists this transfer RNA (74 nucleotides) under Firmicutes bacterium HGW-Firmicutes-1. Its description in RNAcentral is "tRNA-Asp". It matches the Rfam family "tRNA". Rfam says of the family: Transfer RNA (tRNA) molecules are approximately 80 nucleotides in length. Their secondary structure includes four short double-helical elements and three loops (D, anti-codon, and T loops). Further hydrogen bonds mediate the characteristic L-shaped molecular structure. tRNAs have two regions of fundamental functional importance: the anti-codon, which is responsible for specific mRNA codon recognition, and the 3' end, to which the tRNAs corresponding amino acid is attached (by aminoacyl-tRNA synthetases). tRNAs cope with the degeneracy of the genetic code in two manners: having more than one tRNA (with a specific anti-codon) for a particular amino acid; and 'wobble' base-pairing, i.e. permitting non-standard base-pairing at the 3rd anti-codon position. RNAcentral also lists the same sequence under 1 other name. The record is from RNAcentral. Lineage: Bacteria; Bacillati; Bacillota.